ACGCUGGCGGCGUGCCUAAUACAUGCAAGUCGAACGUCUUUUCAUGGAAGCUUGCUUCCACUGAGAAGAUAGUGGCGAACGGGUGAGUAACACGUGGGUAACCUGCCCAUAAGAGGGGGAUAACAUCCGGAAACGGGUGCUAAUACCGCAUAGUUUUCUUGAUCGCAUGAUUGAGAAAGGAAAGACGGCCUUUGUGCUGUCGCUUAUGGAUGGACCCGCGGCGUAUUAGUUAGUUGGUGAGGUAACGGCUCACCAAGACGAUGAUACGUAGCCGACCUGAGAGGGUGAUCGGCCACAUUGGGACUGAGACACGGCCCAAACUCCUACGGGAGGCAGCAGUAGGGAAUCUUCCGCAAUGGACGAAAGUCUGACGGAGCAACGCCGCGUGAGUGAAGAAAGGUUUUCGGAUCGUAAAACUCUGUUGCCAGAGAAGAACAAGUUGGAGAGUAACUGCUCCAGCCUUGACGGUAUCUGACCAGAAAGCCACGGCUAACUACGUGCCAGCCGCGGC
This 511-nucleotide ribosomal RNA is filed under the name uncultured bacterium. Its description in RNAcentral is "bacterial SSU rRNA". It matches the Rfam family "Bacterial small subunit ribosomal RNA", at positions 33 to 518 of the family's 1533-position model. The record is from RNAcentral.